RNAcentral lists this ribosomal RNA (115 nucleotides) under Pteropus alecto (black flying fox). Lineage: Eukaryota; Metazoa; Chordata; Mammalia; Chiroptera; Pteropodidae. The record is from RNAcentral.
GUCUAUGGCCAUGCCACCCUGAAUGUGCCUGAUCUCGUCUGAUCUUGGAAGCUAAGCAGGAUCGGGCCUGGUUAGUACUUGGAUGGGAGAGUGUUUACAAAUACAGAUGAAGUUC